CAGCAGCGGCUGACUAUCACAGGGUGAUGAUGGGUACGAGAGACAGGUAAACGAGAAAUGAAAGAUGCAGACCAGGAAGAGAUACACAGGAGACUUUGUCACAGCUGACAAAUAAAGGCCAUCUCUCUAUAGGAGAGAGGCAAAACAGGCUUGAGCUCUGGGACUUUCAUGGGGAGGCUCAGGAAUCAGAGCCACUAGGGUCUUAAUGCGGUGGCGGGGGCGUGAAAAUGGUCGGGUCGGUAUGAGGGAGUGGUGAGGCUUUCUCAGAAACGCCCUUAGGCGGAAAACGAAAUUUAAAAUGGUCAUGCAGAUGCUAAGCAGGGCCUUUUAGGUAGCUGGCUGGGUGGGAUGGGAAGCCUGGGGCACUUGAGGCCCAGUCCCAAAAGAAGGCAUGCGUGAGCAGCAGACGGAGGAUGGUGCCCUACAUGGGGAACCAGCGUUGGGCCACCUGGAGUCAGGAAGGACUGGCAAAGAAGCCUGGGGAAAGGGCAUCUUGGGUGGAGCACCUGAGGGUUGGGGGGCCGCGGCAGGAAGCAGCGGAGAGGGCCCUGGAGGCCAUGGUAUUCUGAAGCUUCCUAAGGUCAGGCUGGAGGUUUUGGAGCGAGGGAAGCUGGUGUGGGGAGGCGGCGGCAGGACGGAGACCUACGGAGCAGAUGGCUUUGGGUUAGCUGUGCCAGAGUUAGGACAGGAACGGGCAGCUCGCAUGUGGGUACUGAUAUAGAGCGGGGGUCCAGGGAGGGGCGGGUUGGCGAAGCAAUGGUGACUACGACGGUGACAUCCGCGGGGGCGACUGGUGGACCAAGCUCCCGGAUCGGGUACCUUGGCGCCUCUUCACCUCUGGUCACCAACCGGCUUCCAUCUGGGGCCAAGGCCCGUCCGGGCUCGAGGGCGAGGCUGGCACAGACUCGGACCUUCACGUAUUCCCACAGCAGGGGACCCCGCCUACUGAGCGCGGAGCGCGGAACUCCGACUCGCGUUCGUGGGAACCUGCACCCUCCGGCUUGGAACUUGGUGGUGCCCCGAGCCACCGCCCGAGAGCGCCUCCGCAGCACGCAGCUGUAACCGGGGGGCCACCGCCCGAGCGCGCCGCCGGCCCCGAUUGCACCUGGGGUGACCGCGGGACGGUUCUGGCGAAUCUCCCCGCGCGCCCCUCUGGCCAGCCGGGCCGUCCGCGUCCUCCCAGGUCCUGCCCGGGAUUCUGCCCGCGCCAUCCCCGCGCAACUGGGUCCGGGGUGCGCGGCCCAUCCGCGCACGGGCUGCGGUGGUGGAGCCCCGCCCGCCACGCCCCCUGCCCGCGGCCGGACUCGGCGCCAGCUCCUCAGAGGUCGGGGCGGCCUAGGCGGGCACGCGAAGGGCUCGGCGAUGUCUUCGGAGGCCUUCUGCGCGGUCGCUUUUGCUGCUGUCGCUGUGCUGCGGGUGUACCCAAGGCCUCGCCCAGCUCCAUUUUUUUUCCUCCUUAUGGAAAAUCCUAAUCAAAUUACUUAAUUCUAGGUAUGAGUGGCGGGUUCAGGGUGUUUCGUUACUGUUAGUAUUCUUGCACCUUUUUCCCUCCAAAAGUUUUUAGUUGGCUUCAAAUAAACUG
This 1582-nucleotide long non-coding RNA is filed under the name Marmota monax (woodchuck). Lineage: Eukaryota; Metazoa; Chordata; Mammalia; Rodentia; Sciuridae. The record is from RNAcentral.